Molecule: long non-coding RNA, 536 nt
Organism: Homo sapiens (human)
Lineage: Eukaryota; Metazoa; Chordata; Mammalia; Primates; Hominidae
Exons: 3
Source: RefSeq, a predicted model, not a curated record
GCCCCGAUGGGGCGGGGCUCCCGGAGAUUGGGGGCCCAAGAGCUCGGCCAGGAUAAAUGAGCGGGCUGCCGGCUGCAGACAGGGUCCCUGACCUCCAGGCAAGGUCCAAGAGGAGCUCUCUCCACCCUCUUGCCAGUUUCCAGGAAGAAGAACAGAGCCCAGCCCACCUGGGCAUCUAUCUUCCUGUAGAAAAGAGGCAGGCAGAGCUGAGGGGCCUUCCCAAGGAAGCCCCCAUCACCGCCUCAGAUGAAGUGGUCCCUGCUGAAUGCUUUGCUGGGGUCUACGAGGCAAUUCAAGAUGAGAAAUGGAACGGUGGCUUCGGAAAAGCAAAUCAUUCCAACAGCACCUGAAAACAUCGAAGGAAACAAGCUCUUUUUGUGUGUGUGGAAAUGGGGAAUAUAUUGUUUCUCACUGUUUCGAAGACUGUUUUCCCAUCUUGAAAUCACAAGCUGUUUUCUUCCAGAGAGACUUAUAAAUACAUCCAAUUAUCGACAUUCAAUAUAAGAAAUAAAGUUCUGAAAUGGUUUUCUUCAGCA